RNAcentral lists this non-coding RNA (76 nucleotides) under Limnospira indica PCC 8005. The record is from RNAcentral. Lineage: Bacteria; Bacillati; Cyanobacteriota; Cyanophyceae; Oscillatoriales; Sirenicapillariaceae.
GAGCCGGAUGAGGCGAAAGUCUCAAGUCCGGUUUUGAAUGGGAGGGGAUGGAGGCGACUCCAUUCUCGACCCCUAA